This 518-nucleotide long non-coding RNA is filed under the name Anser brachyrhynchus (Pink-footed goose). RNAcentral describes it as "lncRNA (ENSABRG00000013034.1)". Lineage: Eukaryota; Metazoa; Chordata; Aves; Anseriformes; Anatidae. The record is from RNAcentral.
GUAUCAGGAGUCUGGGAAGCAAAGCCCUGCCUUGGCCAGAUGCAACCCCCUGGUAACAAGGCACAGAAAACAAGCUCAUCCUCUGGCAAGAAAAAUGGAGCAUCCCGUGGAAUCACACUGUUAAUUGCAACCAACAAAGCAGGAUGGUGGUCACUCUGGAACUGCUCACAGACAGAAAGAUUUGGCUAUGUUUGCACCGUGCAUGGCCACUUCCCGACAGCAUUAGUGGAAACUGCCUUUCCCCGGUGACCUUGCUGCUAAGCUGGAGACUGCCAGGGACUGUCACCUCCAAUGACACUGCUCAGAGGGUCCUUGUCAGAACAAUUACCACUGCAUUUCCCUGGUGCCUGCUCAGGUUCACUGGCUGCACUCCGGAGAGUGAAAAGGCAACUACUCUUACCCCUCAUUUAACUAAACCAUGCCGAGAGAGAAAGAAGUGCCUCUCCUCUCUCCUCCCUGCUGUGACCGGUGGCCGAAGGGCAGGGAACACCUUGGGCAGCAGAUCAAGACUGAUGUGA